This 468-nucleotide ribosomal RNA is filed under the name uncultured bacterium. RNAcentral's name for it is "partial 16S ribosomal RNA". It matches the Rfam family "Bacterial small subunit ribosomal RNA", at positions 28 to 507 of the family's 1533-position model. The record is from RNAcentral.
GACGAACGCUGGCGGCGCGCCUAACACAUGCAAGUCGAACGGAGUCAAGAGGAGCUUGCUUUUCUUGACUUAGUGGCGAACGGGUGAGUAACGCGUGAGUAACCUGCCCUGGAGUGGGGGACAACAGUUGGAAACGACUGCUAAUACCGCAUAAGCCCACGGAUCCGCAUGGAUCUGCGGGAAAAGGAUUUAUUCGCUUCAGGAUGGACUCGCGUCCAAUUAGCCAGUUGGUGAGGUAACGGCCCACCAAGGCGACGAUUGGUAGCCGGACUGAGAGGUUGAACGGCCACAUUGGGACUGAGACACGGCCCAGACUCCUACGGGAGGCAGCAGUGGGGGAUAUUGCACAAUGGGGGAAACCCUGAUGCAGCGACGCCGCGUGGAGGAAGAAGGUUUUCGGAUUGUAAACUCCUGUCGUUAGGGACGAUAAUGACGGUACCUAACAAGAAAGCACCGGCUAACUACGUG